GACGAACGCUGGCGGCGUGCCUAAUACAUGCAAGUAGAACGCACAGUUUAUACCGUAGCUUGCUGCACCAUAAACUGUGAGUUGCGAACGGGUGAGUAACGCGUAGGUAACCUGCCUGGUAGCGGGGGAUAACUAUUGGAAACGAUAGCUAAUACCGCAUGAUAUUAAUUAUUGCAUGAUAAUUGAUUGAAAGAUGCAAUUGCAUCACUACCAGAUGGACCUGCGUUGUAUUAGCUAGUAGGUGAGGUAACGGCUCACCUAGGCGACGAUACAUAGCCGACCGGCGAGGGUGAGCGGCCAACCUGGGAGGGUGACCCGGCCCAGACGCCCACGGGAGGCAGCAGUAGGGAAUCUGCGGCAAUGGACGAAAGUCUGACCGAGCAACGCCGCGUGAGUGAAGAAGGUUUUCGGAUCGUAAAGCUCUGUUGUAAGAGAAGAACGGGUGUGAGAGUGGAAAGUUCACACUGUGACGGUAUCUUACCAGAAAGGGACGGCUAACUACGUG
This 505-nucleotide ribosomal RNA is filed under the name uncultured bacterium. RNAcentral describes it as "partial 16S ribosomal RNA". It matches the Rfam family "Bacterial small subunit ribosomal RNA", at positions 28 to 507 of the family's 1533-position model. The record is from RNAcentral.